RNAcentral lists this long non-coding RNA (1207 nucleotides) under Phocoena sinus (vaquita). RNAcentral describes it as "lncRNA (ENSPSNG00000009975.1)". The record is from RNAcentral. Lineage: Eukaryota; Metazoa; Chordata; Mammalia; Artiodactyla; Phocoenidae.
UAAAAUCCCUCCCUCACGCUCCACUCCUUUCGCAGACAAACUCCUAGAAAGCUGCUGCGCCCACUCGCCCCCCUCGCCCCCCUCGCCCCCGCCCAGCCCUCGGAAAGGGUCCUGCCAGCCUCCCAGCGACCUGUGUCACAGGCUCCGCCUGCGUGAGGUCCAGGGGCCGCAGCAAACUGGGCGUUUGGACAGCAGGAAAGUGUCCUCAGCUGCGCGGUGGGUGUGGGCAGGGCUGGUUCCUCGGGGCGAGGCGGGGUGCUCGUCUCCCAGCUCCAGAGGGCUGCUGGCGCCCCUCAGCCGGCCCUGAUCCAGGAUGGCCUCGUCUGGAGUCCCUUCCCUUUGUGACACCGGCCCAGGCCAGGCAGUAGGUGAUAGACACACACCAGCAAAGAAUCCGGAAGUCCAGCCAGUCCCUCAGCAAGGUGAGCACUCUCCCCGACGUACCACUUCCUCGUGCAUCCUUCAGAGAUGCACCCUGUCGUGUACACGCUUUUUUUUUUUUUACAAGUUUAUUCACGUACGGUAAACGGCGCACGUAAAAGCGUACAAUUGAAUGAGCUGAGACGCGUAGACACCCCGGGACACUUUGCCACAUUCAGGACAGUGAACAUCUCCAUCAGCCAAAGUCUCUGCAUUUUAUUUUUAUGGUAACGAUGUAGCCAGGACCGAGCAGGGGCCUCCUUCCCACUGCGUAACUGCUGCCUCGUCGGGCUGGGCCUGCCUGUCCGUCAGUCCAUCUCAGGCCCUUACGAACCUCCUGCUAAAAAUGCCUGUGUGGGGCUUCCGUGGUGGCGCAGUGGUUAAGAAUCCGCCUGCCAAUGCAGGGGACACGGGUUCGAGCCCUGGGCCAGGAAGAUCCCACAUGCCGCGGAGCAACUAAGCCCGUGUGCCACAGCUACUGAGCCCGCGUGCUACAACUACUGAAGCCCGCGCGCCUAGAGCCCAUGCUCUUCAACAGGAGAAGCCACUGCAAUGAGAAGCCCGCGCACCGCAACGAAGAGCAGCCCCUGCUCGCCGCAACUAGAGAAAAGCCCGCACACAGCAAUGAAGAUCCAACGCAGCCAAAAGUAAAUAAAUUUAUAAAAAAUAAAAUAAAAAGACCUGUGUGCCUGUCCCUGUGCACAGCUGCCCGGUUGCUGUAAGAUAACUUCCUGGCAGCGCUACCCGAGCCGAGGGGUUGCUUCUCGUCAGAUCUGGCAACGUUCCC